CUGCAGCAGAAUACAGUACUGGUCUGCAGUAGAAUACAGUACUGAAGGUAGAGUACUGGUCUGCAGUAGAAUACAGUACUGAAGGUAGAGUACUGGUCUGCAGUAGAAUACAGUACUGAAGGUAGAGUACUAGUCUGCAGCAGAAUACAGUACUGAAGGUAGAGUACUAGUCUGCAGCAGAAUACAGUACUGGAGGUAGAGUACUGGUCUGCAGCAGAAUACAGGACUGGUCUGCAGUAGAAUACAGUACUGGAGGUAGAGUACUGGUCUGCAGUAGAAUACAGUACUGGAGGUAGAGUACUGGUCUGCAGCAGAAUACAGUACUGGUCUGCAGUAGAAUACAGUACUGAAGGUAGAGUACUGGUCUGCAGUAGAAUACAGUACUGAAGGCAGAGUACUGGUCUGCAGUAGAAUACAGUACUGAAGGCAGUAGAAUACAGUACUGGAGGUAGAGUACUGGUCUGCAGUAGAAUACAGUACUGGAGGUAG
Oncorhynchus tshawytscha (Chinook salmon) is the source of this 489-nucleotide long non-coding RNA. The record is from Ensembl. Lineage: Eukaryota; Metazoa; Chordata; Actinopteri; Salmoniformes; Salmonidae.